CUAUAGGUUGGUAUGUACCCAAUUGUGACUAAACCAAAAGAAACAAAUCUGGAAACUGAAGUAUCAAUACGUGAAAAGCGUUCUUUUGGUAUUGGGAGUGCCAGUUGUCUUUGUUUCAUGAACUACUUCUCCGUAAUAGCAUGCAGCCAUCUUCAAGAGGUGAGAAUUUCACUUAGCGACUUAAACAGAAGUGUUAUCUCAAGAUAAUAUAAUAUCUGGAGGUAAAACAGCAUCCCCAGGAUAAACAGGAUUACUCAAAGUUAUU
RNAcentral lists this long non-coding RNA (265 nucleotides) under Homo sapiens (human). RNAcentral's name for it is "non-protein coding LINC02109:50". The record is from RNAcentral. Lineage: Eukaryota; Metazoa; Chordata; Mammalia; Primates; Hominidae.